RNAcentral lists this ribosomal RNA (1221 nucleotides) under metagenome. RNAcentral's name for it is "SSU rRNA". It matches the Rfam family "Eukaryotic small subunit ribosomal RNA", at positions 6 to 1192 of the family's 1831-position model. The record is from RNAcentral.
GGUUGAUCCUGCCAGUAGUGAUAUGCUUGUUUCAAAGAUUAAGCCAUGCAUGUCUAAGUAUAAGCGAACUUAUACAGUGAAACUGCGGAUGGCUCAUUAAAACAGUUUGAAUUUAUUUGAUGAAUGUAUGAGAAUACUACUUGGAUAACCGUAGUAAUUCUAGAGCUAAUACAUGCAACGACGCCCGACCGUUUCACUACGGAAGGGCUGUAUUUAUUGGAUACCAAAACCAUCCUUCCCUCGGGAAGUUUUGUUUGAUGAUUCACAAUAACUGAUCGGAUCGCCACUGUGGUGGCGACAGGUCAUCCAACAUUCUGCCCUAUCAGCUUUCGAUGGUUGUGUAGUGGACAACCAUGGCCAUAACGGGUAACGGAGAAUCAGGGUUCGAUUCCGGAGAAGGAGCUUGAGAAUUGGCUACUACAUCUAAGGAAGGCAGCAGGCGCGCAAAUUACCCAAUCCCGAUUCGGGGAGGUAGUGACAAAAAAUAACAAUACCGGGCCUUUUUGGGCUUGGUAAUUGGAAUGAGGGAGAGUUAAACGGACCAUCGAGUAUCCAUUGGAGGGCAAGUCUGGUGCCAGCAGCUGCGGUAAUACCAGCUCCAAUAGCGUAUAUUAAAGUUGUUGCAGUUAAAAGCUCGUAGUUGGACUUAUGUGCGCUGUCCGCGGGUGGCCUGCGCCCAAAAGGGCGUUUCGGUUCGGCCCCGGUGGCGCCUUGAAAUCUGCAGCUGGGGGGACGUUGGCCUUAACUGGUCGGCGACCGCACGCCGGCUGCUCGGUUACUGUGAGAAAAUUAGAGUGUUCAAGGCAGGCAUUGGGUGCAAUUGAAUACAUUAGCAUGGAAUAAUAAAAUAUGGCUCCUGCCGUAUUUUGUUGGUUUUGACUGGUGGGAGUAAUGAUUGAUAGGGACGGUUGGGGGUGCUAGUAUUGGGCGGCCAGAGGUGAAAUUCAUGGAUUCGCUCAAGACUAACUUAUGCGAAAGCAUUCACCAAGGACGUCCUCUUUAAUCAAGAACGAAAGUUGGGGGAUCGAAGACGAUCAGAUACCGUCGUAGUCUCAACCAUAAACUAUGUCGACUUGGGAUCGGCGGUAGUUUUUUCAUUAAGACACUGUCGGGACCACGGGAGAAAUCAAAGUGUCUGGACUCUGGGGGAAGUAUGGUCGCAAGGCUGAAACUUGAAGGAAUUGACGGAAGGGCACCACCAGGAGUGGAGCCUGCGGCUUG